RNAcentral lists this ribosomal RNA (435 nucleotides) under uncultured Lachnospiraceae bacterium. RNAcentral's name for it is "bacterial SSU rRNA". It matches the Rfam family "Bacterial small subunit ribosomal RNA", at positions 341 to 792 of the family's 1533-position model. Lineage: Bacteria; Bacillati; Bacillota; Clostridia; Lachnospirales; Lachnospiraceae. The record is from RNAcentral.
ACGGAAGGCAGCAGUGGGGAAUAUUGCACAAUGGGCGAAAGCCUGAUGCAGCGACGCCGCGUGAGUGAAGAAGUAUUUCGGUAUGUAAAGCUCUAUCAGCAGGGAAGAAAAAUGACGGUACCUGACUAAGAAGCACCGGCUAAAUACGUGCCAGCAGCCGCGGUAAUACGUAUGGUGCAAGCGUUAUCCGGAUUUACUGGGUGUAAAGGGAGCGCAGGCGGAUGAUUAAGUCUGAUGUGAAAUCCCGAGGCUCAACCUCGGUGCUGCAUUGGAAACUGGUUAUCUUGAGUGUCGGAGGGGUAGACGGAAUUCCUAGUGUAGCGGUGAAAUGCGUAGAUAUUAGGAGGAACACCGGUGGCGAAGGCGGUCUACUGGACGAUAACUGACGCUGAGGCUCGAAAGCGUGGGGAGCAAACAGGAUUAGAUACCCUGGUA